GCCGGGCGUUGUGGCGGGCGCCUGUAGUCCCAGCUACUUGGGAGGCGGAGGCAGGAGACUCGCUUGAGCCCAGGAGUUGGAGGUUGCUGUGAGCUGUAAUGCCACAGCACUCUACCCAGGGGGAUAGCUUGAGGCUCUGUCUCAAAAAAAAAAAAAAAAUUAUUUUUUGGAGACAGAGUCUCACUUUGUUGCCCUGGGUAGAGUGCCAUGGUGUCACAGCUCACAACAACCUCAAACUCUUGGGCUCAAACAAUACUCUUGCC
RNAcentral lists this small RNA (263 nucleotides) under Otolemur garnettii (small-eared galago). Its description in RNAcentral is "Metazoan signal recognition particle RNA (ENSOGAG00000031027.1)". The record is from RNAcentral. Lineage: Eukaryota; Metazoa; Chordata; Mammalia; Primates; Galagidae.